RNAcentral lists this ribosomal RNA (327 nucleotides) under uncultured eukaryote. RNAcentral's name for it is "partial 18S ribosomal RNA". It matches the Rfam family "Eukaryotic small subunit ribosomal RNA", at positions 1470 to 1796 of the family's 1831-position model. The record is from RNAcentral.
CCCUUAGAUGUUCUGGGCCGCACGCGCGCUACACUGAUUCAUGCAACAAGUUUUGUCCUUGGCUGAUAGGCCUGGGUAAUCUUUGAACGUGAAUCGUGAUGGGGAUAGAUGAUUGCAAUUAUUCAUCUUCAACGAGGAAUUCCUAGUAAACGCAAGUCAUCAGCUUGCAUUGAUUACGUCCCUGCCCUUUGUACACACCGCCCGUCGCACCUACCGAUUGGAUGGUCCGGUGAAAUCUUCGGAUCUGAGAGAUGUCUGAUUAAUUUCGGACGCCUUUUGGAAAAGUUGUUUAAACCUUACCAUUUAGAGGAAGGUGAAGUCGUAACA